ACACAUGCAAGUCGAGGGGAAACGACAUCGAAAGCUUGCUUUUGAUGGGCGUCGACCGGCGCACGGGUGAGUAACGCGUAUCCAACCUGCCCACCACUUGGGGAUAACCUUGCGAAAGUAAGACUAAUACCCAAUGACGUCUCUAGAAGACAUCUGAAAGAGAUUAAAGAUUUAUCGGUGAUGGAUGGGGAUGCGUCUGAUUAGCUUGUUGGCGGGGUAACGGCCCACCAAGGCAACGAUCAGUAGGGGUUCUGAGAGGAAGGUCCCCCACAUUGGAACUGAGACACGGUCCAAACUCCUACGGGAGGCAGCAGUGAGGAAUAUUGGUCAAUGGACGAGAGUCUGAACCAGCCAAGUAGCGUGCAGGAUGACGGCCCUAUGGGUUGUAAACUGCUUUUAUAAGGGAAUAAAGUGAGUCUCGUGAGACUUUUUGCAUGUACCUUAUGAAUAAGGACCGGCUAAUUCCGUGCCAGCAGCCGCGGUAAUACGGAAGGUCCGGGCGUUAUCCGGAUUUAUUGGGUUUAAAGGGAGCGUAGGCCGGAGAUUAAGCGUGUUGUGAAAUGUAGAUGCUCAACAUCUGCACUGCAGCGCGAACUGGUUUCCUUGAGUACGCACAAAGUGGGCGGAAUUCGUGGUGUAGCGGUGAAAUGCUUAGAUAUCACGAAGAACUCCGAUUGCGAAGGCAGCUCACUGGAGCGCAACUGACGCUGAAGCUCGAAAGUGCGGGUAUCGAACAGGAUUAGAUACCCUGGUAGUCCGCACGGUAAACGAUGGAUGCCCGCUGUUGGUCUGAAUAGGUCAGCGGCCAAGCG
Molecule: ribosomal RNA, 812 nt
Filed under: uncultured bacterium
Lineage: Bacteria
Description: bacterial SSU rRNA
Rfam family: Bacterial small subunit ribosomal RNA
Source: RNAcentral